UGGCGGACGGGUGAGUAACGCGUGGGUAACCUGCCUCAUACAGGGGGAUAACGGUUAGAAAUGACUGCUAAUACCGCAUAAGACCACAGCACCGCAUGGUGCAGGGGUAAAAACUCCGGUGGUAUGAGAUGGACCCGCGUCUGAUUAGGUAGUUGGUGGGGUAACGGCCUACCAAGCCGACGAUCAGUAGCCGACCUGAGAGGGUGACCGGCCACAUUGGGACUGAGACACGGCCCAA
This 238-nucleotide ribosomal RNA is filed under the name uncultured bacterium. Its description in RNAcentral is "partial 16S ribosomal RNA". It matches the Rfam family "Bacterial small subunit ribosomal RNA", at positions 96 to 334 of the family's 1533-position model. The record is from RNAcentral.